This 423-nucleotide ribosomal RNA is filed under the name uncultured bacterium. Its description in RNAcentral is "bacterial SSU rRNA". It matches the Rfam family "Bacterial small subunit ribosomal RNA", at positions 358 to 773 of the family's 1533-position model. The record is from RNAcentral.
GGAAUAUUGGACAAUGGGCGCAAGCCUGAUCCAGCAAUGCCGCGUGUGUGAAGAAGGCCUGCGGGUUGUAAAGCACUUUCGGUGGGGAGGAAGGUCUUAAUGCUAAUAUCAUUAAGAAUUGACGUUACCUACAGAAGAAGCAUCCGCUAACUCUGUGCCAGCAGCCGCGGUAAUACAGAGGGUGCGAGCGUUAAUCGGAAUUACUGGGCGUAAAGCGUGCGUAGGUGGCUGAAUAAGUCAGAUGUGAAAGCCCUGGGCUUAACCUGGGAAUUGCGUUUGGUACUGUUUAGCUAGAGGGUGAGAGAGGGAAGUGGAAUUUCCGGUGUAGCGGUGAAAUGCGUAGAUAUCGGAAGGAACACCAGUGGCGAAGGCGACUUCCUGGAUCAUUUCUGACACUGAGGCACGAAAGCGUGGGGAGCAAAC